UCUCUCGCGUUCUCUUCCUCACGGAACCUCUCACUUGCAGUCUCCCACCGUCAAAAUCGCGUUUCUCCCUCUUCCUCCCACAACAACUCACAAAACCCUUCCACUUCCAUUUUCCCCUCUCUCGAAAUCACUCGCAUUUUUUUCCUCUUCCUCACACAACCUCUCAUUUGCACUCUCCCACUGUCAAAAUCGCGUUUCUCCCUCUUCCUCCCACAACUCAGAACCCUUCCACUUCAACUCUCACACCGGCAUUUCGUUAGUGUGGCUAUCACUCACUGCCGUCGUCGUUCACUAUCGACGGUGACUCUUCAGUUUUCCAGGGUUUAGGAAUGGCUAUGGGAAUGGUUAAAUGGAAAGCACAUCUAUAGUCAACAUGAACCUAUGCCUAAAAAGGUUCUUGACUUGAUGAAUGUUGAAAAGCUUACAUGGGGGAAUGUGGCCCACCACCUUCAGGCAUUGAUGAUAAGGCUGCUAUCGUGGAGUAAAUGCUGAUAUAAACUUUAGUUUGAGAGAUUAUGAGGAGGAUUUGAAGCAGGUAUUGAACAUGGUAGGCUAUCAAUUUUAUUUGAUUUUUCUAUCAGUUUAAUUCAUGAUUUGAUUGAGUUGCAGAUGAGAAUUUUGACAAAGGAAGAGUUUGUGCUUGUUCUUCAUCGACAAAUCAGUGAAAUAUUGAGGAGAAACGCAACUCACAUAAGUGCAUUAGCUCUUCACAAAUGUGGUCAAGGAGAACAAAGUAUAAGACCAUUUAUUAGCAAGACGUGGAAAUGCUGAGAAGGACCAUGCUUGUUAGGAGAGAUUUGAGGACAUGGACUUCCGAAGAAGUGUUUUUAAAGUAGACAGAAACAACCCAGUUUAGAUGUGGCUACAAAAACUGCUACGACACUUGCAAUUGUGCCUUCAUAGUAAUAGGUUCUAUAUUCUGGUUCCUGUAGUUCUAUUGUCUAUUGUCAAUCAUAGUUAUUCACUCAUUUUAUUGAAAGUUGAAACUAAUGACAAUAAUCUUAUAUAAUAUUAUAUUGUAUUUAUAAGUUUCUUUGUUUGUUUUAA
Long non-coding RNA from Vigna angularis (adzuki bean), 1047 nucleotides. RefSeq lists it as uncharacterized. The transcript is spliced from 4 exons. NCBI's taxonomy places the organism in Eukaryota, Viridiplantae, Streptophyta, Magnoliopsida, Fabales, Fabaceae. The record is from RefSeq and is a predicted model, not a curated record.